Non-coding RNA from Cinara cedri, 246 nucleotides. The record is from the annotation of a GenBank genome assembly. Lineage: Eukaryota; Metazoa; Arthropoda; Insecta; Hemiptera; Aphididae.
AUUACUAAUUGAGAAGUCGAUUUUUCAAUUUUUCCGUUGAGGAAAACUCCACAAUUCGGGUGUAAUUUGUGAAAAUUUCAUAAUACCACCACGCGAAUCCACGUGUUUCCUAACUCUUUCUGCCUAUACAAUUAAACUAACUACGAAAUUACUAAACAGUCAAAUAUCGCGUCGUCGACGAGCAGAAACGUCUACGUUUUCCCGGGUGUGCCUAAGUAGAUGUCAUCGUCACGACGCUUCCGAGCC